UACAGAGGGGGCAAGCGUUGUUCGGAAUUACUGGGCGUAAAGGGCGCGUAGGCGGCCUGCUAAGUCGAACGUGAAAUCCCUGGGCUCAACCCAGGAACUGCGUCCGAUACUGGUUGGCUUGAAUCCGGGAGAGGGAUGUGGAAUUCCAGGUGUAGCGGUGAAAUGCGUAGAUAUCGGGAGGAACACCGGUGGCGAAGGCGGCCUUCUGGACGGAUACUGACGCUGAGACGCGAAAGCGUGGGGAGCAAACAGG
This 253-nucleotide ribosomal RNA is filed under the name uncultured bacterium. RNAcentral describes it as "partial 16S ribosomal RNA". It matches the Rfam family "Bacterial small subunit ribosomal RNA", at positions 524 to 776 of the family's 1533-position model. The record is from RNAcentral.